GGUUGAUCCUGCCAGCAAUCAUAUGCUUGUCUCAAAGAUUAAGCCAUGCAUGUCUAAGUAUAAGUGUUUAUACAGCGAAACUGCGAAUGGCUCAUUAUAUCAGUUAUAAUCUACUCGAUUGAUUCUGUUACUUGGAUAACUGUAGGAAUUCUAGAGCUAAUACAUGCGAAAAGUCUGGACCGGGGGCAACCUUGGGAAGGAUGCAUUUACUAGAGGAGAAACCAGGGUGGGGCGUUAACUUGCGGGCAACCGUAGGGUCCCAUUACAACAGAUGAAUCAUAGUAAGUUCAUG
RNAcentral lists this ribosomal RNA (292 nucleotides) under uncultured eukaryote. RNAcentral describes it as "partial 18S ribosomal RNA". It matches the Rfam family "Eukaryotic small subunit ribosomal RNA", at positions 6 to 266 of the family's 1831-position model. The record is from RNAcentral.